This 402-nucleotide ribosomal RNA is filed under the name uncultured bacterium. Its description in RNAcentral is "bacterial SSU rRNA". It matches the Rfam family "Bacterial small subunit ribosomal RNA", at positions 976 to 1380 of the family's 1533-position model. The record is from RNAcentral.
AGAUCUUGACAUCCCACGUAUGCCUACGAGAGUAGGCAGUGCCUUCGGGAACGUGGAGACAGGUGGUGCAUGGCUGUCGACAGCUCGUGUCGUGAGAUGUUGGGUUAAGUCCCGCAACGAGCGCAACCCCUAUCGCUAGUUGCCAUCAUUAAGUUGGGGACUCUAGCGAGACUGCCUGCGAAGAGCAGGAGGAAGGUGGGGAUGACGUCAAGUCAUCAUGCCCCUUAUGAUCUGGGCUACACACGUGCUACAAUGGCCGGUACAAAGAGCUGCAAAACGGUAACGUUUAGCCAAUCUUUAAAGCCGGUCCAAGUUCGGAUUGAAGUCUGCAACUCGACUUCAUGAAGCCGGAAUCGCUAGUAAUCGCAGGUCAGCAUACUGCGGUGAAUACGUUCCCGGGUC